This 24-nucleotide non-coding RNA is filed under the name Xenopus tropicalis (tropical clawed frog). RNAcentral also lists the same sequence under 5 other names. The record is from RNAcentral. Lineage: Eukaryota; Metazoa; Chordata; Amphibia; Anura; Pipidae.
UCUAGUGGUUAGGAUUCGGCGCUC